This 240-nucleotide ribosomal RNA is filed under the name uncultured bacterium. Its description in RNAcentral is "partial 16S ribosomal RNA". It matches the Rfam family "Bacterial small subunit ribosomal RNA", at positions 118 to 353 of the family's 1533-position model. The record is from RNAcentral.
UAUCCAACCUGCCGAUAACUCGGGAUAGCCUUUCGAAAGAAAGAUUAAUACCCGAUGGCAUAAUAGAACCGCAUGGUUUGAUUAUUAAAGAAAUUUCGGUUAUCGAUGGGGAGUGCGUUCCAUUAGGCAGUUGGUGGGGUAAGUGGCCCCACCAAACCUUCGAUGGAUAGGGGUUCUGAGAGGAAGGUCCCCCCACAUUGGAACUGAGACACGGUCCAAAUUCCUACGGGAGGCAGCAUG